GACGAACGCUGGCGGCGUGCUUAACACAUGCAAGUCGAACGGAAAGGCCCUGCUUUUGUGGGGUGCUCGAGUGGCGAACGGGUGAGUAACACGUGAGUAACCUGCCCUUGACUUUGGGAUAACUUCAGGAAACUGGGGCUAAUACCGGAUAGGAGCUCCUGCUGCAUGGAGGGGGUUGGAAAGUUUCGGCGGUUGGGGAUGGACUCGCGGCUUAUCAGUUUGUUGGUGGGGUAGUGGCUUACCAAGGCUUUGACGGGUAGCCGGCCUGAGAGGGUGACCGGCCACAUUGGGACUGAGAUACGGCCCAGACUCCUACGGGAGGCAGCAGUGGGGAAUAUUGCACAAUGGGCGGAAGCCUGAUGCAGCAACGCCGCGUGCGGGAUGACGGCCUUCGGGUUGUAAACCGCUUUCGCCUGUGACGAAGCGUGAGUGACGGUAAUGGGUAAAGAAGCACCGGCUAACUACGUG
RNAcentral lists this ribosomal RNA (468 nucleotides) under uncultured bacterium. RNAcentral describes it as "partial 16S ribosomal RNA". It matches the Rfam family "Bacterial small subunit ribosomal RNA", at positions 28 to 507 of the family's 1533-position model. The record is from RNAcentral.